RNAcentral lists this transfer RNA (62 nucleotides) under Limnogonus poissoni. RNAcentral's name for it is "tRNA-Arg". The record is from RNAcentral. Lineage: Eukaryota; Metazoa; Arthropoda; Insecta; Hemiptera; Gerridae.
AAGUAAAGAAGUAAAUUUUACAUUUAGUUUCGACCUAAAAAUAGAGCCAAGCUCCAUACUUU